UUGAAGGCGUCUAACAGUGUUGGCCACUGUUC
Molecule: non-coding RNA, 32 nt
Filed under: Mus musculus (house mouse)
Lineage: Eukaryota; Metazoa; Chordata; Mammalia; Rodentia; Muridae
Source: RNAcentral